Molecule: ribosomal RNA, 807 nt
Filed under: uncultured Bacillota bacterium
Lineage: Bacteria; Bacillati; Bacillota
Description: bacterial SSU rRNA
Rfam family: Bacterial small subunit ribosomal RNA
Source: RNAcentral
GGGGGGGCAACUCUCCAGUCGAGUGGCGGACGGGUGAGUAACACGUGGGUAACCUGCCCGGAAGUGGGGAAUACCUCGGGGAAACUCGAGCUAAUACCGCAUGACAUCUUCGGAACGAAGGUUCUGACGAUCAAAGCGGGGUCGCAAGAUCUCGCGCUACCGGAUGGGCCCGCGCCCGAUUAGCUAGUUGGCGAGGUAACGGCUCACCAAGGCUUCGAUCGGUAACCGGCCUGAGAGGGCGAUCGGUCACACCGGAACUGAGACACGGUCCGGACUCCUACGGGAGGCAGCAGUGGGGAAUCUUGCGCAAUGGGCGAAAGCCUGACGCAGCAACGCCGCGUGGAGGAUGAAGGCCCUUGGGUUGUAAACUCCUGUCGGUUGGGAAGAAAUUGUUCGGGGCUAAUACCUCCGGACAUUGACUGUACCAGCAAAGGAAGCCCCGGCUAACUCUGUGCCAGCAGCCGCGGUAAUACAGAGGGGGCCAGCGUUAUUCGGAAUUAUUGGGCGUAAAGGGCGCGUAGGCGGCCAUGCGUGUCUUCCGUGAAAUCCCUCGGCUUAACUGAGGACGUGCGGAAGAAACUGCGAGGCUUGAGUCCGGGAGAGGGGGGUGGAAUUCCCAGUGUAGCGGUGAAAUGCGUAGAUAUUGGGAGGAACACCGGUGGCGAAGGCGGCCCCCUGGACCGGUACUGACGCUGAGGCGCGAAAGCGUGGGUAGCAAACGGGAUUAGAUACCCCGGUAGUCCACGCCGUAAACGAUGGGCACUUGGUGUCGCGGGUAUCGACCCCUGCGGUGCCGAAGCUAACGCA